GACGAACGCUGGCGGCGUGCUUAACACAUGCNAGUCGAACGCUGAAGCCUAGCUUGCUGGGUGGAUGAGUGGCGAACGGGUGAGUAACACGUGAGUAACCUGCCCUCUUCUUUGGGAUAACGCCCGGAAACGGGUGCUAAUACUGGAUAUUCACUGAUCUUCGCAUGGGGGUUGGUGGAAAGGUUUUUUCUGGUGGGGGAUGGGCUCGCGGCCUAUCAGCUUGUUGGUGGGGUGAUGGCCUACCAAGGCUUUGACGGGUAGCCGGCCUGAGAGGGUGACCGGUCACAUUGGGACUGAGAUACGGCCCAGACUCCUACGGGAGGCAGCAGUGGGGAAUAUUGCACAAUGGGCGAAAGCCUGAUGCAGCGACGCCGCGUGAGGGAUGGAGGCCUUCGGGUUGUAAACCUCUUUCGCUCAUGGUCAAGCCGCAGCUUUGGGUUGUGGUGAGGGUAGUGGGUAAAGAAGCGCCGGCUAACUACGUGCCAGCAGCCGCGGUAAUACGUAGGGCGCGAGCGUUGUCCGGAAUUAUUGGGCGUAAAGGGCUUGUAGGCGGUUGGUCGCGUCUGCCGUGAAAUCCUCUGGCUUAACUGGGGGCGUGCGGUGGGUACGGGCUGACUUGAGUGCGGUAGGGGAGACUGGAACUCCUGGUGUAGCGGUGGAAUGCGCAGAUAUCAGGAAGAACACCGGUGGCGAAGGCGGGUCUCUGGGCCGUUACUGACGCUGAGGAGCGAAAGCGUGGGGAGCGAACAGG
RNAcentral lists this ribosomal RNA (751 nucleotides) under uncultured Actinomyces sp. RNAcentral describes it as "bacterial SSU rRNA". It matches the Rfam family "Bacterial small subunit ribosomal RNA", at positions 28 to 776 of the family's 1533-position model. Lineage: Bacteria; Bacillati; Actinomycetota; Actinomycetes; Actinomycetales; Actinomycetaceae. The record is from RNAcentral.